Molecule: long non-coding RNA, 2899 nt
Organism: Acinonyx jubatus (cheetah)
Lineage: Eukaryota; Metazoa; Chordata; Mammalia; Carnivora; Felidae
Exons: 3
Source: RefSeq, a predicted model, not a curated record
CUGAAGCAGGCUCCAGGCUCCGAGCUGUCAACACAGAGCCCGACGCAGGGCUCAAAGUCACAAACUGUGAGAACAUGACCUGAGCUGAAUUCAGGCGCUUAACCGACAGAGCCACGCAGGUGCCCCUGCCUUCUUUCUUCUUGACCCUCAUGGUGUCCUCCACAUGGCCAGCUCUCUGCCUGCCUUUGUCGUUUUGUGUUUUGUGUGCCUCUUUGGCUCCUUCCUACCCAUUCCUUCCAAACUCCACUCAGAGACCAGCCCUCUAGAUGCCUUGGCUCAUGCCCCUGAGCGGAGUUAGGUCCCCUGUUGCAUACAGCCCUUUGCACGUCUCCACAGUUACUGCCGUGUUGUAUCCUCCUCUUACCUGACUGUCAGCUUCUUGAGGGAGGACUCCUACCUUUGUGCUUCCGGUGUGUGCAGGUGCUCAGGUGUUGGAUAAAUGAGGAGGCAGCUGCAGAAACGGAAGCCUGCGAUUAAGUGCCUGGCAGCUCCAGAAUGUGAUCUGGGAGCGUCUCGGAUGGCAUUUGGUUUGCAGAAGUUGAGCCUUGAAACUGAAUUUGCUUAGCACUUAACAAGUGUAAGGAAAUUAUAGUUGUUGAAAUUAGAGAUGGGGAGAUCAGGCCACCCUGUGCAGGCGGGUCAGCACUGAGUGUGGUCGCCUCCCUCUACAACCCCAUGGAAGCAGUCACCAGUAUCCUCUGUGUCAGAUGAAGUAUCCAAGGUGUACAUGGGAACUCCUCCGUGAAGGUCACACACAGCUAGUUCGCGCAGGCUGGGACUGCAGCCUAGCUGGGUUUGUCUGACUCCAGGGCUACCGAGGUUUGUCAUCCUGGGCGGCAUUUAGGUGCUUGAGGUCACCCACCUUGUGCACAAAGACCAGCCUAGACCUAACGGAGGUGAGAGCGAGGCCGGAAUCCCAGCCUUACCUAAGACAGAAGGGUGCAAGGGAGCACAGCUGUUCCGUGUGGACCCCAACCGUUCCCACAGCUGUUCUGCAUUUGCUGUGACUGGGUGAAGAGAACUACACCUCCCAGGAAGCAGCGCGGCGCCCUGGCUGCCCCCUCCCUACGCCCCGCCCCGGGGAGGCUCAUAUAUAAGGGCGGAAUGGCCCGGCCUCCGGCAGAGCGCAGGGGCAGCGAGGGCGUGCGGCGCGGUCCUGGGCUUGGGGGAAAGCGGCCACCAGGGCUGGCCUCCGCGGCUCCGCGCCUCUCCCCCGGCCUCUCUUGCCCCGCGGCGUCCAGCCUGCGCCGCCAGGGCCCCGCGGACCUGCCAACCCGAGGCCAAGAGUGGAAUUGCCCUGCCGCUUUCCCGGGCUUGGCGGAGGGGAUCCCGGCGGGGAGCUCGGCGCUCGCGAUGGCGAUGCGCAGCGAGGAAAGGCGAGGAGCUGCGUGCGGGCUGGGUGCCCUCGGAGCGCCGGGAGGCGGGGAGCGCCCGCCGCCGGGCCGGGGGAUGCUGCCUCUUGGGAACCCCCGCGGCGAAGUCCCUCCAUCUCCGCGGGGCUCCAGCACAGAGGUCGGGGCUGCAGGCCCUUUGGCCUUGGAUGGAAAGUGGGAAAUGGGGCGCGAGGCUGCGGACCCCCUAACGUGGAUUACUUGGUGCGUGUCAGCCGGGCUCAGAAGACCCACGACCUCGUCUCCAUCCUCGGAUUGAUUCAUUCCACCUGGCAGUCGGGUCGCUUUACCUGGAGGUGAAACCAGAGGUUUGAGGCUGGCCUGUGUAGGUGCUCCGAACCAAGAAAGAAGGGCAAGACACAAAGGCCUGGAAAGGAGGGGCGGCUAAGGGCUGCUAUUCCUUGCCCACAUGUCCCGCCAGGAAGCCGGGCAGGGCUGGCAUGUGCCGCCAGGAUCCCCGGGAAGGACCCGGCUAAGAUGGGACCAUCUCCUAAGAGGCAAGAGCUCUGGAUCUGAUUAAGACUUCCUCUUCUGGAGAGUGAAGAACGUUCUAGAUUGGAGAGGACAUUGGAGGAGAAAGUAAAGACUCGUGCACUGAGGAGUAGUCUGUGUCUGGACCUGCGUGAGCCGGACGUGACCUGCAUAUAGCUGGCGAGACACCAUCGUCACAGACCUCGUCCUUCCUUCUUGUGGGAGACAUUCCCUGUACCGUCGCCUGAUCUUAAGACUCCGCCCCCCGCUCCGCGCCCCAAUCCCCGGGAACCACAGGGCUUUCUACCGCACCAUUUGUCUUGCCCCCCAGCUCCCCCGUCUGCUGUGCCUUUGGACGCAGUCAUUCUUGUUUGCUCCAUUAUCUUCCAGCCGGAUACAGAGUGAAUAGUUAACUACACUUAGGUCAAAUGGGAUUUUAAUUUUCGUUCCUGUUCCUUCUAAAGCGGCCGGUGUUUGCGUUGCUCUGUGAGCAACAUUGGAAUAGUACGUCCUCUCCCUUAUUUGGGAUCUGGCCCCCUGGGAUUCCAGAGCGAGGCAGGUGAGUGCUGAAGUUCUUCAGGGCUCUCCAGUGUCAGGGACACCGGAGGGGCUCCUGCAGGGGAGCUGGCUCAGGACGGCUGGCGUCCUCUGUGUCCAGCUUCUUUCGUUCGGAUCACACGCAGGUGUAUGUCUGGAAGAGUGAAAAAGACGAUUUGUUCAUCCCAGCUACCUUCUACCUUUUUUAAACUGUAUUUUUGACAUAUAACUGACAUACCGUUAUACUCGUUUCCCACCUGUCUUCUGUUGAGGCAGAUGCACCGCCUGCUAUGAAGACCCUCUCCCCCCCCCCCCCACCUCGCAGGUGGCAGUUGGGACCCAUGCCAGAACAUGGUGCUUCCUUACAGACAAUCUGGCUGCCAGAGCUGGUGUGUUUAUUGAGGAUCCUCGUCCCCCAGAAUGCCGAUGACACUCCUGACGGCAGGUUGGGCCCCGUGAAACACGAGUCAAAUAUUCUGUCACCACCGUGCGCAUGGCUG